RNAcentral lists this ribosomal RNA (251 nucleotides) under uncultured prokaryote. Its description in RNAcentral is "partial 16S rRNA". It matches the Rfam family "Bacterial small subunit ribosomal RNA", at positions 525 to 775 of the family's 1533-position model. The record is from RNAcentral.
ACGUAUGGUGCAAGCGUUAUCCGGAUUUACUGGGUGUAAAGGGUGCGUAGGUGGCAAGGCAAGUCUGAAGUGAAAAUCCGGGGCUCAACCCCGGAACUGCUUUGGAAACUGUUUAGCUGGAGUACAGGAGAGGUAAGUGGAAUUCCUAGUGUAGCGGUGAAAUGCGUAGAUAUUAGGAGGAACACCAGUGGCGAAGGCGACUUACUGGACUGCUACUGACGCUGAGGCACGAAAGCGUGGGGAGCAAACAG